Molecule: ribosomal RNA, 441 nt
Filed under: uncultured bacterium
Lineage: Bacteria
Description: partial 16S ribosomal RNA
Rfam family: Bacterial small subunit ribosomal RNA
Source: RNAcentral
CCUACGGGAGACAGCAGUGGGGGAUAUUGCACAAUGGGGGGAACCCUGAUGCAGCGACGCCGCGUGGGUGAAGGAGUGCUUCGGCAUGUAAAGCCCUAUCGGCAGGGAAGAAGCAAGACGGUACCUGACUAAGAAGCCCCGGCUAACUACGUGCCAGCAGCCGCGGUAAUACGUAGGGGGCGAGCGUUAUCCGGAUUCACUGGGUGUAAAGGGAGCGUAGACGGCCAUGCAAGCCAGGGGUGAAAGCCCGGGGCCCAACCCCGGGACUGCCCUUGGAGCUGCAUGGCUGGAGGGCGGGAGGGGCAGGCGGAAUUCCUGGUGUAGCGGUGAAAUGCGUAGAUAUCAGGAGGAACACCGGCGGCGAAGGCGGCCUGCUGGACUGCGACUGACGUUGAGGCUCGAAAGCGUGGGGAGCGAACAGGAUUAGAUACCCGAGUAGUC